Molecule: ribosomal RNA, 472 nt
Filed under: uncultured bacterium
Lineage: Bacteria
Description: bacterial SSU rRNA
Rfam family: Bacterial small subunit ribosomal RNA
Source: RNAcentral
UGGGGAAUUUUGGACAAUGGGCGCAAGCCUGAUCCAGCCAUACCGCGUGAGUGAAGAAGGCCUUCGGGUUGUAAAGCUCUUUCAGACGGAAAGAAACGGUUACGGCUAAUACCCGUGACUAAUGACGGUACCGUAAGAAGAAGCACCGGCUAACUACGUGCCAGCAGCCGCGGUAAUACGUAGGGUGCGAGCGUUAAUCGGAAUUACUGGGCGUAAAGCGUGCGCAGGCGGUUUGGUAAGACAGAUGUGAAAUCCCCGGGCUUAACCUGGGAACUGCAUUUGUGACUGCCAGACUAGAGUGUAGCAGAGGGGGGUAGAAUUCCACGUGUAGCAGUGAAAUGCGUAGAUAUGUGGAGGAAUACCGAUGGCGAAGGCAGCCCCCUGGGCUAACACUGACGCUCAUGCACGAAAGCGUGGGGAGCAAACAGGAUUAGAUACCCGGGUAGUCCCUGAGCGGGCUGGCAAGGCGCAU